AUUGAACGCUGGCGGCAGGCUUAACACAUGCAAGUCGAGCGGGGAAAGGUAGCUUGCUACCUGACCUAGCGGCGGACGGGUGAGUAAUGCUUAGGAAUCUGCCUAUUAGUGGGGGACAACAUUCCGAAAGGAAUGCUAAUACCGCCUACGCCCUACGGGGGAAAGCAGGGGAUCUUCGGACCUUGCGCUAAUAGAUGAGCCUAAGUCAGAUUAGCUAGUUGGUGGGGUAAAGGCCUACCAAGGCGACGAUCUGUAGCGGGUCUGCGAGGAUGAUCCACACAACUGGGACUGAGACACGGCCCAGACUUCUACGGGAGGCAGCAGUGGGGAAGAUUGGACAAUGGGCGAAAGCCUGAUCCAGCCAUGCCGCGUGUGUGAAGAAGGCCUUUUGGUUGUAAAGCACUUUAAGCGAGGAGGAGGCUACUUGGAUUAAUACUCUAGGAUAGUGGACGUUACUCGCAGAAUAAGCACCGGCUAACUCUGUGCCAGCCGCCGCCGUAA
Molecule: ribosomal RNA, 501 nt
Filed under: uncultured bacterium
Lineage: Bacteria
Description: partial 16S ribosomal RNA
Rfam family: Bacterial small subunit ribosomal RNA
Source: RNAcentral